This 433-nucleotide ribosomal RNA is filed under the name uncultured bacterium. Its description in RNAcentral is "partial 16S ribosomal RNA". It matches the Rfam family "Bacterial small subunit ribosomal RNA", at positions 29 to 507 of the family's 1533-position model. The record is from RNAcentral.
AACGAACGCUGGCGGCAUGCCUAACACAUGCAAGUCGAACGAGACCUUCGGGUCUAGUGGCGCACGGGUGCGUAACGCGUGGGAACCUGCCCUUAGGUUCGGAAUAACUCCCCGAAAGGGGUGCUAAUACCGGAUAAUGUCUUCGGACCAAAGAUUUAUGGCCUUUGGAUGGGCCCGCGUUGGAUUAGCUAGUUGGUAGGGUAAAAGCCUACCAAGGCGACGAUCCAUAGCUGGUCUGAGAGGAUGAUCAGCCACACUGGGGCUGAGACACGGCCCAGACUCCUACGGGAGGCAGCAGUGGGGAAUAUUGGACAAUGGGCGAAAGCCUGAUCCAGCAAUGCCGGGUGAGUGAUGAAGGCCUUAGGGUUGUAAAGCUCUUUUACCCGGGAUGAUAAUGACAGUACCGGGAGAAUAAGCACCGGCUAACUCCGUG